This 82-nucleotide transfer RNA is filed under the name Oryzias latipes (Japanese medaka). Its description in RNAcentral is "tRNA-Leu (CAG) (tRNA-Leu-CAG-8-1)". It matches the Rfam family "tRNA". From Rfam's summary of the family: Transfer RNA (tRNA) molecules are approximately 80 nucleotides in length. Their secondary structure includes four short double-helical elements and three loops (D, anti-codon, and T loops). Lineage: Eukaryota; Metazoa; Chordata; Actinopteri; Beloniformes; Adrianichthyidae. The record is from Rfam by way of RNAcentral.
GUCAGGAUGGCCGAGCGGUCUAAGGCCCUGUGUUCAGGGCGCAGUCUCGUAAGAGGCGUGUGUUCAAAUCCCACUUCUGACA